Molecule: long non-coding RNA, 594 nt
Organism: Homo sapiens (human)
Lineage: Eukaryota; Metazoa; Chordata; Mammalia; Primates; Hominidae
Source: Ensembl
AUGGCUCCUUCCGAAAGAUCAUACUUGCCAGCAUACAACCCAAUCUCCACAUAUCCAAACUAUAAUCGUACAUCUGAUAGUCUACAAGUAGCUCAGGACCUUUGAAGUAUCGGGAAGCAACUCGGACAUUAUAUUCUUGGCCAGGAUGAUAAAACUCAGCCAAACCCCAGUCUAUUAGUCGUAGCUUUCUGUGCUCAUGAUCAAUCAUGACAUUAUGGGGCUUGACAUCUCUGUGCAUAAUUCCCAUGCUGUGACAAUAAUCCAGGGCCUUCAGAAUCUCAUACAUGUAAAAUCGAAUAUCAUAGUCUGUUAACGUCUGGUACAAUUGCUUGAAGUCUGUGUUGUUUACGUGUUCAAAAACCAAGGCGGGGGUUCGUGACACAGGGUCUUUUACAAUGUCUGCCAGUGUGAUGAUGUUGGCGGACAAAGCUGGACUUGAUGUUUGGAGAUCUGGCAGUCACUGUGUUCAGAAGCAGCUUGGGGGUAAGACCUUGUUUCAGACCUGUUUUCUUCACACUGUGGUGGAAGCGGCAGCGGCUGUGGCCGCUCUCCCUUCUGCUCACACAGACAAUAUGGCGGCGAUGGAGUGGGGAG